AAUUAAGAAGUUGAUGAUUUUAGCUUUAUAAACAGAGUAAUUCAUAAUCCCACUGAAUUAAUGCAUCAAAUAAAAAAUCAUGGCUAGAGGGUAUGAUUCAAAUGGAUUUGGCCAAGAGCACUAAAAUAUAGUAAUAAGAGAUUGGUCCUCAAAGAGUCCAAUAAAAAUCAAAUGGAAGUAAAAAGAAAAUGCAAUAUGAAUUUUUUUUUUCUUUCUUUUUUUGUGGAUCCUUACCCUAAAUAAAGCAAAGAUCUUAAAAGAAGGCACACACUCCCUUCAAAGUUGGUUUUGAUGAAAGAAAGAGCUACAUAAAAUCAUUUAACGGCUGCCUAAAGGAAGGUUUAUAAUUUAAUAGCUAGCAAAAGGAUUGGAAUCUUCAUCAAAGAAAAAAAAAAUCAUCAAAUACAAAACCAAGAUUUUUUACUUGUUUUUUCUUUAACUAGCGUACAAAGCAAAGGACUAGAUUUUUGUUUCUAAAGUGACACAAACCCAGGAGCUGUUUCUACUUUGCAAUUCAUUCUUUCCCCACUUACCAACUUAAUCUCAGAAAGAGUGCUAGAAAAUUUUCAUGGUCCUACGAACUUAACUAGCAUAGCCACCAAGAGGAAAAUCACGAAGCACUAUGUUGAAACUUACUAGAGGAGGUAACAACCUAAACAAGUGUCAAAAUGGGUUUGUGAGUUUAUUUUUCCUCUUCAUUUUCAGCCACCAAAAAUUUUCCACAGAAGAGGGUGAAGCAUAAUAAACAUACAUUAAACAUUCUCUAAUGGUAAGAAGAGAUCUACAUGAUAAACAAUAACAUGGACAAACAUAGAAAGAAACAUCACAGCACAGGCACGUACACAAAUUUAAAUACUAUAUACGCAUAGGAAGAGCAAGGAAGAACAGAGUCAAGGAAUCAACUCUACGUAUAAAACUCCUUUCUUCCAAAUGCGUAAUAUUAUGACUAUGGACAGUUGGACAAUAAUUGAGGUGUUAUUGGUGCCAGCUACAAAUUUUAAAAAAUUUAUAAUUGUAGACAAAUUGCCUGGAAAGAGAUCAUGUAAUUUUCUCUCAAAGAGGUGAAGGAACAAAAAGAAAAAAGGUCAAAGAAAAAGUAGAGGGUGAACCAAAAGAAGAAAGUAACGUUGACAUAUGGGUUCAAUCAUAUACAACAUAGCAAAUGUUCAGCAUAACAUAUUAUGCAGAUUUUAAAUAAUAGAAGCAAGAUUCAAAUGCCUAAGUUUCUGCAACUAGCGAUUCAAACUUCUUUUGAGAAGCAAAUUUUACAAAUAAGGAAUAGAUUGUGCAGCAUUAGAUCAUAAAAGCAACUCACCUGAAAUGGAAGACUUAUAGUCGCUAAUUAAGUUUGUGCAAGAGAGGGAGAAAUUGGAGGCUACUAAAACCAUAGGGCUUCUGAAUCGUUGAGUGAAGAAGAGAAAUGGAAGAGGCGAGAUGGAGAAGGCCGGGGUUGGCGUAGAGUUAGUCUGGAAGACGCCACUGAAGUCGCGAGAGAUGGGCUCGUAAGACUCGCCAGAUGAUGAUGAUAGGGGCAAAAUAAAUUACCAAUGUCAACGCAGCUUGAGGGAAAGAGAGCCGCAAGCCUCAGUUCUCCACAAUUAGUAGGGACGGAUUUCAAAGAAAUUUGUAGAAUUUGGGAGCAAAUUCACAUGAAGAACUUGAAGGAACCAUAGUAGCGUCGUAGUUAAUCCCAUCCUGAGCAUUUGAAAACUUCCAUAAAGAAGUUUGGCCUCAAUCUUUUAGGGUGUGUUUCCACCUCCUGGUUGCCAUUGAUAUUACUGGAGUAGAAGUCUUCCCUGCUUCUCUUAUUGUUGGCAUUUGUUGUUUCUUUGAAUUGCUCCAGAAAAUUGGCUUCUCUGCAUUUGUUUAGCUCAACUUUGUCAUAUAACAAGUGGAACCCAAACCUUUUCACUUCCAACUUUCCCUCAUCGUCGGGCCACAUAAUCUCAGGGUAGAGGUGGAAUGUUGCCUUGUUCUCCAUGUCACAAUUUUGUUUGAGCCAAUCUAAAAAGAAAAUGUCAUCGCCAUCGGACCAAAAUAACACAUGAUCUGAUUCUAUGGUAUUUUCCAAACAGAAAUAUUCACUUGUAAAUUUGGCCUCUGUGUAGCCAUUAUUGUUCUUGAAACUGCUUAGACAAGAUAAGGGUCCAUAGCAAAAAUAAACAGGAUCCUUGAAUUCUAGAAUAGCACAAAAAACAAAACCCAGGAACAUAUUAUUGAAGCAACCAGGAGGGAACGAAGUUUCUAUUAAAUGUCCUGGGCCUUCACAUCUCAAACACUCAGGAAUUUUGCUUCUGGGUAAAACAACCAAAAGACGACGAUAAAAUGCUCCAUAACUUCUAGCAAUGGCUAAUUCUUUAAUUCUCCGGAUAGCAUCUGCCAUAAUUGUGCCACGUGCAUUUUGGUCCAAAUUUACGCAAUUACAAAAAUUCAAUUCAUAACCAAUUGAUGACGGCAAUUCUU
This 2463-nucleotide unclassified non-coding RNA is filed under the name Hevea brasiliensis (rubber tree). The record is from RNAcentral. Lineage: Eukaryota; Viridiplantae; Streptophyta; Magnoliopsida; Malpighiales; Euphorbiaceae.